UACGAACUGUGCAAACGUUAUUCGGAAUCACUGGGCUUACAGGGUGCGUAGGCGGCUUAGCAAGUCAGGUGUGAAAGCCCCCGGCUCAACCGGGGAACUGCGCUUGAAACUGCUGAGCUCGAGUCAGCUAGAGGUACACGGAACUUCCAGUGGAGCGGUGAAAUGUGUUGAUAUUGGAAGGAACACCGGAGGCGAAAGCGGUGUACUGGGGCUGGUCUGACGCUGAGGCACGAAAGCCAGGGGAGCGAACGGG
RNAcentral lists this ribosomal RNA (253 nucleotides) under uncultured bacterium. RNAcentral describes it as "partial 16S ribosomal RNA". It matches the Rfam family "Bacterial small subunit ribosomal RNA", at positions 524 to 776 of the family's 1533-position model. The record is from RNAcentral.